AGUACCAGCUGCCAUUACAUCUGCCCCAACCAUAGCUUCUGCUCCUGUACCUGCUGCAUCUAAUCCGGAAAGAGAGGAGAGUAUGGGUGGAAAUGGACAUCAAAAUUCCUCUUCCUUCCGGAGAGAAAACUGGACUGCUAUGCAAUCAGUGCAGGACCUGAGAAAAUCGGGAACUGACAUCAAUGUAUCUUUGGCAGAAGUUUAAUUUCGUAUGUCCAUGCCUUUGAGCAUAACUGACUACAUUGAUGGAUACUGGUAUUCCACACGAGUUAUAUGGUGCUCAUAUUAUCUAAAUUAUCUGUAAGCUUAUUGAACCAUUGCUUUAGUAUGAAGUAGCUGGACAGGAGAACAGAUUGUCAGGCUAAUUAAAGUAGGCUUCUUUUAGUUUGCGAUGAGUAGAGUAUUUGGAUGUGAACAAUGCUGGUUGCCUUUUAUAGCUGCGUUUGUUAGUGACGAUUCUCUCAAAUUGGCCAAAUUUCUAUUGCUUCAGAAAGAAAGGAAGACACUGAUACGG
Molecule: unclassified non-coding RNA, 514 nt
Filed under: Hevea brasiliensis (rubber tree)
Lineage: Eukaryota; Viridiplantae; Streptophyta; Magnoliopsida; Malpighiales; Euphorbiaceae
Source: RNAcentral